GUCUACAUAGAUUAUAUUAAAUCGUGACGCUGUUAACUUCAAGAUGGGAUUAUUUCCUGUAGUCG
This 65-nucleotide transfer RNA is filed under the name Anchistrocephalus microcephalus. Its description in RNAcentral is "tRNA-Asn". Lineage: Eukaryota; Metazoa; Platyhelminthes; Cestoda; Bothriocephalidea; Triaenophoridae. The record is from RNAcentral.